UGACCACGAGACCGAUAGCGAACAAGUACCGUGAGGGAAAGUUGAAAAGAACUUUGAAGAGAGAGUUCAAGAGUACGUGAAACCGUUCAGGGGUAAACCUGAGAAACCCGAAAGAUCGAAAGGAGAGAUUCAAUGUUAUCGUUGUCUUCCAUUUAUUGGCGUGCGAUUGACCGGGAUUCGUCCUGCGAUACGCCGUCGGUUUAUGCGUUAGGCGUUUAUGCACUUCUCUCUCAGUAGGACGUCGCGACCCGUUUGGUGUCGAUCUACGACCGCGGCGGUAGCCUGUCACGGAUUUAUUCGCGCCAGACCCCGCGUGCUCCGGCCGACUGCCAGACGGUAUAAAUGAUAUGGUAUAGGGUCGCUUUUAAGCGUUCGGCCGGUUGCAAGCACGGACGGUUAUUGGCCGUCGGACCUAGUCCGGCAUCGAUGCCGCCUCGAGCUGUUAGCUACCGUGUUCUCGAACGGACUCUAUUACCGGUCAGCGAUGCUAUUGCUUUGGGUACUUUCAGGACCCGUCUUGAAACACGGACCAAGGAGUCUAGCAUGUGCGCGAGUCAUUGGGAAAUACAAAACCUAAAGGCGCAAUGAACGUAAAGGUUUGCUUAAGUAAACUGAGGGAUGACGGCAACCGCUUCUACGAAUGCGAAAGGGUGAACUAUGCCCGGUCAGGUCGAAGUCAGGGGAAACCCUGAUGGAGGACCGUAGCGAUUCUGACGUGCAAAUCGAUCGUCGGAACUGGGUAUAGGGGCGAAAGACUAAUCGAACCAUCUAGUAGCUGGUUCCCUCCGAAGUUUCCCUCAGGAUAGCUGGCAUUCGAUGAGCGAGUCUCAUCCGGUAAAGCGAAUGAUUAGAGGCCUUGGGGCCGAAACGACCUCAACCUAUUCUCAAACUUUAAAUGGGUGAGAUCUCUGGCUUGCUUGAAUAGUGAAGCCAGAGAUUUGGAUCAGAGUGCCUAGUGGGCCAUUUUUGGUAAGCAGAACUGGCGCUGUGGGAUGAACCAAACGCCGAGUUAAGGCGCCUAAACGACGCUAAUGGGAUACCAUGAAAGGCGUUGGUUGCUUAAGACAGCAGGACGGUGGCCAUGGAAGUUGGAAUCCGCUAAGGAGUGUGUAACAACUCACCUGCCGAAGCAACUAGCCCUGAAAAUGGAUGGCGCUGAAGCGUCGUGCCUAUACUCGGCCGCCAAGGCAUGAGAAACGUUCAUAAUAGUUCGUUUUGACGCCCUGGUGAGUAGGAGGGUCGCGGUGGUGUGCGCAGAAGGGUUUGGGCGUAAGCCUGCCUGGAGCCGCCAUCGGUGCAGAUCUUGGUGGUAGUAGCAAAUACUCCAGCGAGGCCCUGGAGGACUGACGUGGAGAAGGGUUUCGUGUGAACAGCCGUUGCACACGAGUCAGUCGAUCCUAAGCCCCAGGAGAAAUCCUAUGUUGAUGUCGGUGUAUUUUAUUUUGAAUAAAAUUUCACACCCAUCGGGCGAAAGGGAAUCCGGUUCCUAUUCCGGAACCCGGCAGCGGAACCGUUUACAAGUCGGGCCCUCGCAAGAGAGUUCGUCGGGGUAACCCAAAAUGACCUGGAGACGCCGUCGGGAAAUACGGGAAGAGUUUUCUUUUCUGUAUGAGCGUUCGAGUUCCCUGGAAUCCUCUAGAAGGGAGAUAGGGUUUGGAACGCGAAGAGCACCGCUGUUGCGGCGGUGUCCGUAUCUUCCCCUCGGACCUUGAAAAUCCAGGAGAGGGCCACGGUAGGUGUCGCGCCGGUUCGUACCCAUAUCCGCAGCAGGUCUCCAAGGUGAAGAGCCUCUAGUCGAUAGAUAAAUGUAGGUAAGGGAAGUCGGCAAAUUGGAUCCGUAACUUCGGGAUAAGGAUUGGCUCUGAGGAUCGGGGCGUGCCGGGCUUGGUUGGGAAGCGGGCGUAGGCCGAUGUGCCGGGCCUGGGCAAGGUGAAAUUGUCCUUGUGACUUAGAUCCGAGCUCGGUCCCGUGUCUAGGCCCCCCGCGGAUCUUUCUUGCUGCGAGGUUUCUGUGCCGGCUUCGGUCGGUCAGUCGUACUCUUCGGCCGCCAUUCAACGGUCAGCUCAGAACUGGCACGGACUAGGGGAAUCCGACUGUCUAAUUAAAACAAAGCAUUGCGAUGGCCCUAGCGGGUGUUGACGCAAUGUGAUUUCUGCCCAGUGCUCUGAAUGUCAACGUGAAGAAAUUCAAGCAAGCGCGGGUAAAACGGCGGGAGUAACUAUGACUCUCUUCACGUGGGUCCCACCGUGAGUACCCCUUCGGGGGAAACUAAGCCACCUCUGUGCUUUUGGCUUGUGGGCUGCCAACCCCCUCGCCUGCAAUCAAGUCGGUGAAAGUAUUAGAAACCUAGCCUCGGAUGAAAAUUUAGAUUUAAAUUUGGGUGGACCCUCUGGUCUGCCCCAACCGACUAAUAGAGUUGGGUAUAAUUGCCGUUUUCCUACCUGUGAAAAAUCUUUUGCAACUUCGGUUGGCCGUGGUGUGCAUGAGCAACGAGUACAUAAGGACUGGUACGACCAGGUACUUUCAAAGAUUGUGCCUAAAAAAGCACGAUGGACCGAAGAGGAACAAGUUUUGAUGGCCAAAGAGGAGGCUGCACUAAUUCAAAAGGGUGUAACCCAAAUAAAUAAAGCUCUCCU
Molecule: ribosomal RNA, 2636 nt
Filed under: Ctenocephalides felis (cat flea)
Lineage: Eukaryota; Metazoa; Arthropoda; Insecta; Siphonaptera; Pulicidae
Description: eukaryotic LSU rRNA
Rfam family: Eukaryotic large subunit ribosomal RNA
Source: RNAcentral